GAUUUGACAGGCAUCAUUAUUUAACGCAAACCAGUCCGCAGUAAUUUAGGACUUUGGCACCAUGAGAAAAAUGCACAGCGGACAGCCACGGAGAUCGGAUGACAAGAGUGCACACACGAUCGGAUUGGUAGACAAAAGCGGGGCAGACUUGCGGUGCUCAGGCAAAUAGAGCCCAAAGAGUAUUUCCACCUGUCCAAGUAUAUCUACAUCAGAAGAAAAAACGAAUAACUAACUUUAUUCUCAAAAUUUGUAAAGCAUAAACAUUUUUUAUUCAAUUUGAUGAGUUUUAUGUUAAAUGUCAAGUGGAGCAGAACAUAAAAAGCAGAACAAACAAAUAAACUUUAGAUGAUAAUGGCACAUAAAAUCCUAACACGCUCUAUUAUAUGUGAGUUAAUAAAAUCAUUAAGAACUUCAACUUUGAUCCAAAUAAACAAGAUCGUAAAGAUGAAAAUCAGCGAAUUGACCGGAGCGUACGAGUACUAAUAUCCAUGGCAAAUGGCUUUGGAUGAACAAGUCGAACAGAUUGAAAACAUUUCAAGAUUUUAUGACUGCCUUAAACACGGCUUUGUACAGCACACAACGUUAUAAAGGGAAAUACUUUCUCAAGACUUUCACAUAAAUAACUCGGGACCAGAGCUGAAAUCUGUCUGAUUCUGAGCUGAUCAGCCCAGUCCAGACUCACAGCAUUGUUCCAGAGCGGGUGAAAGGGACAGAUCGACCGAAAGUGACGAGCGAUUGCCGCCUGCAAGUGUCAAUAUAAAGUAACAACUUUAUUGAUCCUUAUUUAUUCGAGGGCGAACCAAUAAAAUGGGCAACUUUAUAAUGAUGCACAUAAAUAACGCGCCCCGCAAGAAGCAAACAAAGCCGAGCCAGACCAAGACGAGGGCGCAGGCGCAACGAUAACAAAGACAAGAAAUAAAAAAAAAAAAAACUCCAAGAUGAAGGCGACAACAUGUCAGCGACGAAUGGCAUUGAGGAUGUGAAUCUCAAGUUGAGACCUGCCCGGCAACCUGAGUGCAGCGGGACGAGACUUUGAUUUGUUGGCAGCCAAAUCAAGAAGAAGAAGAGGAAGAUGAGUAACAUCUGAAAGGCGGAUGUGCUGCAAGCGUCAAGAAAGCGUUACCCAAACACAAUUAGAGAGUAUUUUCUUGAGGCUUAGAUGUGAUCGGGCUUAACUUUAUUCAAGCAAAAUGGGCUUAUACUUUCAUCCAUGUGCAUCGGAGAUUUUCAAUACGUUUCUAGGAUCAAAAAUAAAAUGUGCUCACCAGAUAUUUUAUCGAUUUGGAAAUCUCGUAUAAAUAUUUAUUACAGAAUUUGAUUUUUGUUUUAUGAACAUAGUAAAUAGGCUUUGACAGACUUGCAUAUUUAAACAUUGAAAUCAAAGCUGCAAACAGGUUUUGAACGGAACAAGCUUUAAGACAGAAUUCGAGUUUAGUUUUUAUUAUGAGUUGAAGCUUAACCCCAACCAGAUUCCGAAAAACUAAGCAAAAGCCAAAUUUUAUAUAUUUAAAAAACAAAAUUUUCUUCAAAUAAAAAGUUAGCUUUACGAACCGAAACCAAAA
Molecule: long non-coding RNA, 1562 nt
Organism: Drosophila virilis
Lineage: Eukaryota; Metazoa; Arthropoda; Insecta; Diptera; Drosophilidae
Source: RefSeq, a predicted model, not a curated record